This 968-nucleotide long non-coding RNA is filed under the name Homo sapiens (human). RNAcentral describes it as "HSALNT0385516". Lineage: Eukaryota; Metazoa; Chordata; Mammalia; Primates; Hominidae. The record is from RNAcentral.
GUGCCCAAUCCGGCCGAGGAGCGUUACCAUGGCAACCGUGCCGCGGAGGCCUUGAGAGGCCACACGCCCUAUGUUGGUCUGCGAGAAAUCAAACUUCGAACAGGACAAGCCCGAAGCCCGCUUCUCCGGGAGACGGGGUGCCACAAUUGCAAGGACCCUUGCUCCACAGAAUUCUUUGCCUGGAAUUUUCUUCCCAGAAUCUUUGCAUGUCAUUCCCUCUGUUGCUGAGUUACCGGGAUCUCAAUGUAAACGUUACGUACUGACAGAGGCUGCUGUGAACUGAAUUGCGUGCUUCCCAAAAUUCAUAUGUUGAUACUGUCACCCCCGGUACCUAAGGAUGUGACUACAUUUGGAGAUAGCAUCAUCAAAGAGGCAUGGAAUCCCAGGGAGCAUCCUGCACUCUCAGUGUCCAGCUGUCUGAGGCCACACUUGUUUCUGAUGAUAGAGAACAAUUGCUUUUUUCUGAGAGACUUAGCACUCCAUGGCUGAGGAGUUCUGCAAUAAAAUGCCUGCUUUCUCCACCAGAUGGUAUUCACAAAAAUAGCUCACAUUAUGUUUUGCUUGUUUGCAAGUCAACAAGAUGAGGUCACCGAAAAGGUCUAACUGAUUCUGUCUGCUCAGGAAUGUUUCAGGCUUGGUCUCCCUUUUAAUUUACCUCGUAAAUCAUUUUGUAAUUUUUAUCUCCUACCCAUUCUGUAACUUGUUAAUUACUUUUAUACACAUGUAAUAUCUUUUAUGUGUGAUUUCUAAGUAUAUUACUAGUGAACAUUGACUGUUACAAGGCAUACCUUGUCUUAUUGCAAUUUAUUGUGCUUCCCAAGUGUUGGAUUUCUUACAAAUUGAGGGGUUUUGGCAACCUUACCUUCAGUGACUCUGUCAACAAUAUUUUUUCCAACACCAUGUGAUCUGUGUGUGUGUGUGUAUCUUUGUCAGCAUUUUUAUCAAUAAAGUACAUUUUUUAUUAAGGU